AGAUCUGAGUAUAUCAAUAUUACCUUGUUCAGAACUUAAAGAGAAAUCUUGAGUUUAUGGACUUCAGGGGGAGUAUGGUCACAAGGCUGAAACUUAAAGGAAUUGACGGAAGGGCACACCAGGAGUGGAGCCUGCGGCUUAAUUUGACUCAACACGGGAAAACUUACCAAGACCGAACAGUAGAAGGAAUGACAGAUUAAGAGUUCUUUCAUGAUUUAUUGGGUAGUGGUGCAUGGCCGUUCUUAGUUGGUGGAGUGAUUUGUCAGGUUAAUUCCGGUAACGAACGAGACUGAAACCUAUUAAUUAGUUUUCUGCCUAUAAGACAGAAAUGUUCGCAAGAACAGGUGCGUAAGUACCACUUCUUAAAGGGACACAUUUCAAUUGUCCUAUUUUAAUUGUAGUUAUCUAAUUUCG
RNAcentral lists this ribosomal RNA (414 nucleotides) under Entamoeba histolytica. RNAcentral describes it as "bacterial SSU rRNA". It matches the Rfam family "Eukaryotic small subunit ribosomal RNA", at positions 1049 to 1449 of the family's 1831-position model. The record is from RNAcentral. Lineage: Eukaryota; Evosea; Mastigamoebida; Endamoebidae.